UACACAUUUGGUCCCUCAAUAAUUUCUUUAUUAGUAAUUCCACUGUGUUACUUUCUAUUAUUGCACUAUUUUUCCAAACAUUUUUUAUUAUUACUUUCCAUGACUGUGAGGAGUGAUCACAGUGACGAGCCGCGGCUAUAAAUUGGAAAAUUUGGGGAUUAUUCUAUCUCGUUAGUUUAAGUAUGAGGAGAUCUGGUGACGAUGGAAAGGUUUGGUGGAACACCGAUCAAGUUUUCCGCCCUUUUCUGUCCGCCCGAUGCUCCGAUGAUUCCUAAUCUCUCUUCAGCACCAGCUAUCGUCGUCGUCGUCGUCUUUAUCAUCAUCAUCAGCAUCAUUCGAUCAUUCAUUCCAUUCCACAACAAACACGACAACAAACGAUAACAAUUAUUAUUAUUCUUCUUCUUCUACUACAACUACUAGUACUACAAACCAGGCAAUGAUGAAUCGCCGUCCACUUUUGAUUAUUGUUCGUAUCAAAUCAGUGGAUUCCAGAUCGGUACAUUGGUAUCUUUGAUGGCACGGUGGUGAUUAUGGAUGGCCUGUUGAUGGCAACCGAUCAUCACCGGUGAUAGCAAAUCUGAGCCUCUUUUCUUUUAUGUGUUUGUUUUUAUUUUAUUUUAUUUUUACAUUUCUUUUCUGGAUUUUUACUUUUUAGGUAUUAUAGAUCUAUUUAUUCAUCUAUUUAGAUUUAAAAAAAACUGAAACAAUGAAAUCAAACCUAAAGAAAACUGUAAAAAGAUGGAUCAUGGAUGGCCUGUUGAUUCAACCGAUCGUCGCCGGUAAUGGUAAAGCUUAGUCUCUUUUUUAAUUAAGUCACUGUAAAAUAUAAAUAUAACAUUAAAACUAAAAAAACACAAUGAAAAAACGAGAUGAUAGACAGAAACAUAUAAAUGAAAAAAUAAAAUCGAAAUAUAUCAUAGAAGAAGUUUUAAUGUUCCAUAGAUUUAGGUGGAAGGAACUGGUUUUCCAUGGAGAGGUGGAGGGAAAUUUCUUGAGCAGAUUGUUGUCUCCUGGAAUAUCCGUUCAGAUCUUUGAGGUUUUAGAUAAUUUUCAAUUCACAUCUUUUUACUUCUUUUUUUAAUGUUUGUAAGACUUUCAUUUUAAUCUAAAAUCGUCUUAUUAAAUAAAAUAAAUAAGUUAUAAACUUAUAAUCUAUAACUAAAAUAAAAUAAAAAAUUAUUCCUAAUACUUAUUUAUGGUCAAUUUCAACUUUCAAGUGAUUUCAAUGAAAAUUGAAUAAUCAGAUGUAAAAGUUUUUAUUUAGUUCUUGAUUAGUCUUACCUAAAUAUUGUCCUACUUAUUUAUAAUAAGUUCAUAUGACUUAACAUGAGGCUACAUAAUUUCUAAAAGUGGAAAAAAUUAUUUAAAUAAUAAAUGAACAAAUGAAGUGAUUUUGUAAUCAGAUUUUCCUCUUCUUGUGUUUUUUAUAGGCAGACCCAUUGAUUUUCCUCUUAUUACCGUUAUCUUUUGACCGGGCUUUAUUCUUACCAACCCAAGAAGAGGGAGC
RNAcentral lists this long non-coding RNA (1507 nucleotides) under Zostera marina. RNAcentral describes it as "long non-coding RNA (ZMAR_LNC005791)". The record is from RNAcentral. Lineage: Eukaryota; Viridiplantae; Streptophyta; Magnoliopsida; Alismatales; Zosteraceae.